Molecule: ribosomal RNA, 488 nt
Filed under: uncultured bacterium
Lineage: Bacteria
Description: bacterial SSU rRNA
Rfam family: Bacterial small subunit ribosomal RNA
Source: RNAcentral
AUGGCUCAGAACGAACGCUGGUGGCGUGUCUUAUACAUGCAAGUCGAGCGAGGCAGCAAUGCCGAGCGGCGAACGGGUGAGUAACGCGUAAGCAAUCUGCCCCAUAUCAGGAAAUACCCGUGCCAACGCGCGGUUAAUGUCCAGGAGAGUGGCCCUCCGCAUGGAGGGUUGACUAGAGAUUCAUCGGUAUGGGAUGAGCUUGCGUCCGAUUAGCUAGUUGGCGGGCAACGGCCCACCAAGGCGACGAUCGGUAGCCGGCCUGAGAGGGUGAUCGGCCACAUUGGGACUGAGAUACGGCCCAGACUCCUACGGGAGGCAGCAGUAGGGAAUAUUGCACAAUGGGGGAAACCCUGAUGCAGCAACGCCAACCGUGUGGGAAGAAGCAUUUCGGUGUGUAAACCACUGUCAUGAGGGAAUAAGGCCCGCCUUCGGACGGGAUUGAAUGUACCUUGAGAGGAAGCACCGGCAAACUUCGUGCCAGCCGCCGC